UUCCAAAAAGGAUUGGUUUUUCCAUCCAAAAAGAAGCAGUGGUGCAGCUUGUUUCCUGGUUACCUUCUAUUUCUUUAUAAACUUUAUUAAUACAUUUUAACAUCAUCUUUAAUUUUUGUGCAAAUUGUUUUCUACUUGUAAGCUUAUUAUUUAUUUUGUUGACAAGAUUGAUUUUGCCAUACGUCUCUUAAGUAAGAGCUUUAUUGGCCAAUUGG
RNAcentral lists this long non-coding RNA (215 nucleotides) under Lathyrus oleraceus (garden pea). RNAcentral describes it as "Pisum sativum (pea) long non-coding RNA (PSAT_LNC035384)". The record is from RNAcentral. Lineage: Eukaryota; Viridiplantae; Streptophyta; Magnoliopsida; Fabales; Fabaceae.